AGAGUUUGAUUAUGGCUCAGAACGAACGCUUGCUGCAUGCUUUAUACAUGCAAGUCGAACGGAGGCCCUAGCUUGCUAGGUGUCCUUAGUGGCGCACGGGUGAGUAACACGUGGGAACAUACCUCAUAGUACGGAAUAACUGCGGGAAACUGUAGCUAAUACCGUAUAUUCCAGUAAUGGGAAAGAUUUAUCGCUAUGAGAUUGGCCCGCGCAAGAUUAGUUUGUUGGUAAGGUAAUGGCUUACCAAGGCUACGAUCUUUAGCUGGUUUGAGAGGAUGAUCAGCCACACUGGGACUGAGACACGGCCCAGACUCCUACGGGAGGCAGCAGUAGGGAAUAUUGGACAAUGGGGGAAACCCUGAUCCAGCAAUGCAGCGUGAGUGACGAAGGCCUUAGGGUUGUAAAACUCUUUCAUCGGUGAGGAUAAUGACAGUAGCCGAAGAAGAAGGACCGGCUAAUUCCGUGCCAGCAGCCGCGGUAAUACGGAAGGUCCUAGCGUUGUUCGGAAUUACUGGGCGUAAAGCGCAUGUAGGCGGAACAGAAAGUUAGAAGUGAAAUCCCUGGGCUCAACCUAGGAAUUGCUUUUAAAACUUCUGUUCUGGAAUUCAGGAGAGGAAAAUGGAAUAUCCAGUGUAGAGGUGAAAUUCGUAGAUAUUGGAUGGAACACCAGUGGCGAAGGCGAUUUUCUGGACUGAUAUUGACGCUGAGAUGCGAAGGCAUGGGUAGCAAACGGGAUUAGAUACCCCGGUAGUCCAUGCAGUAAACGAUGGGUGCUAGUCGUCGGACUUAUGUUCGGUGUCGUAGCUAACGCGUUAAGCACCCCGCCUGGGGAGUACGGUCGCAAGAUUAAAACUCAAAUAAAUUGACGGGGACCCGCACAAGCAGUGGAGCAUGUGGUUUAAUUCGA
This 907-nucleotide ribosomal RNA is filed under the name marine metagenome. Its description in RNAcentral is "bacterial SSU rRNA". It matches the Rfam family "Bacterial small subunit ribosomal RNA", at positions 8 to 954 of the family's 1533-position model. The record is from RNAcentral.